UAUUAAACCCUAAGAUCUAAGGCAUCCUUUGC
Molecule: non-coding RNA, 32 nt
Filed under: Rattus norvegicus (Norway rat)
Lineage: Eukaryota; Metazoa; Chordata; Mammalia; Rodentia; Muridae
Source: RNAcentral